UGGAAUUGUUGGCGAUGUAACCUGUGUGCUUUUAUGGUUUACAGUGGACAAAAACAAUGGAGGUUAUGAAACCUAUGGAUAUGUUUCAGCUGCUCAAGAUCCUAACAUGUAUUUUAACCAAGGCUAUAUUCUGCCAACUACUAGCACUUGGAAACUGUAAUCAAGUCUCGCAUCCCAGGCCUCCAGUCGCUAAUUAAUAAAAGUAUUGGUGAACUAGAGGCGAAAUUCAGUCGUUUUGGAAAGCCUUUUGCUUCUGAUGCUGGAGGUAAAUUAUACUCAAUUAUGGAGAUUUGUCGUCUUUAUGAUGGAAUUUUCAAAGAACAUCUUGACGGCAUGUAUGUAGAUGGUAGAUUGGAAUGUAGCUGGUGUUACUUUCUGGUAGAUUGGAAUGUAGCUGCCCCGGCGCACACAUGAACGAUGUUCUUUGUCGUAUGUGAACCAGGGACAAACACAUGGAUGCUCUACUUGAUAUCAAUCAUGAAGUAUUGGCUAAGUUCAUCGUCAUCGGAGGUGCUUAUCGUUUUAUUGUUUAAAAUGUUGUUGUUAGAACUUACUAGCUAGCUCAGGCAUGU
This is a long non-coding RNA of Papaver somniferum (opium poppy), 572 nucleotides long. RefSeq lists it as uncharacterized. The record is from RefSeq and is a predicted model, not a curated record. NCBI's taxonomy places the organism in Eukaryota, Viridiplantae, Streptophyta, Magnoliopsida, Ranunculales, Papaveraceae. The transcript has 4 exons.